RNAcentral lists this ribosomal RNA (253 nucleotides) under uncultured Eubacteriales bacterium. RNAcentral describes it as "uncultured Clostridiales bacterium partial 16S ribosomal RNA". It matches the Rfam family "Bacterial small subunit ribosomal RNA", at positions 524 to 776 of the family's 1533-position model. The record is from RNAcentral. Lineage: Bacteria; Bacillati; Bacillota; Clostridia; Eubacteriales.
UACGUAGGGGGCAAGCGUUAUCCGGAUUUACUGGGUGUAAAGGGAGCGUAGACGGCGAUGCAAGUCUGAAGUGAAAGGCGGGGGCCCAACCCCCGGACUGCUUUGGAAACUGUAUGGCUGGAGUGCAGGAGAGGUAAGUGGAAUUCCUAGUGUAGCGGUGAAAUGCGUAGAGAUCAUACAGAACACCGAUUGCGAAGGCAGCUUACCAAACUAUAUCUGACGUUGAGGCACGAAAGCGUGGGGAGCAAACAGG